Molecule: ribosomal RNA, 400 nt
Filed under: uncultured bacterium
Lineage: Bacteria
Description: bacterial SSU rRNA
Rfam family: Bacterial small subunit ribosomal RNA
Source: RNAcentral
UAGGGAAUUUUCGGCAAUGGGGGAAACCCUGACCGAGCAACGCCGCGUGAGCGAAGAAGGCCUUCGGGUCGUAAAGCUCUGUUGUAAAGGAAGAACGGCGCAUACAGGAAAUGGUAUGCGAGUGACGGUACUUUACCAGAAAGCCACGGCUAACUACGUGCCAGCAGCCGCGGUAAUACGUAGGUGGCGAGCGUUAUCCGGAAUCAUUGGGCGUAAAGAGGGAGCAGGCGGCCGCAAGGGUCUGUGGUGAAAGACCGAAGCUAAACUUCGGUAAGCCAUGGAAACCGGGCGGCUAGAGUGCGGAAGAGGAUCGUGGAAUUCCAUGUGUAGCGGUGAAAUGCGUAGAUAUAUGGAGGAACACCAGUGGCGAAGGCGACGGUCUGGGCCGCAACUGACGCUC